Oncorhynchus masou masou (cherry salmon) is the source of this 1189-nucleotide long non-coding RNA. RefSeq lists it as uncharacterized. The transcript has 3 exons. Lineage: Eukaryota; Metazoa; Chordata; Actinopteri; Salmoniformes; Salmonidae. The record is from RefSeq and is a predicted model, not a curated record.
GGACCCUCUUACUCAAAGGGUGUAGGCCUAGUAUGAACCACACGGGGUCGCAUCUCAAAAUGGUCCAGUCGGCUCGUCGUCGUUAUACUCACAUCGGCGACGUAUAAAGGACAUGCCAAUUCCAGGUUACAUAUACUGCCUUUUCAUAGUAGGUUUUAAAAUGGCAGAGAAAUAUGGGGUAAAAGUAAAUAAAAAAUUGACUUGCAUAAACCAAAUUGUUUGACAAACUAAAAGGAUGAGGGAGGUUUUUUUUUUUUCUUCCAAAUCAUUCCAUAAAUGAAGCAGUUACAAGCAUUGGUCAUCUGCUGCUCAAAUGUGACCGAGUCUUCCUUGGAGUGAACAGCCAGAAUUGAUUCCUUUUAACAAGACAGUAGGGGAUUGAUUUAUAUAGGUAGGCGCGCUGGUGUCACCUGUUAAUUAAUAAAUUAGCACACAUCCAAUAUCAUCUAAUGUCAACCAAUCAACGGAAUGGAAAGAUAUAACGUGUUUUUGAUCAUGCCGCCGUUCUGAAAUGAGAGAGACACAGACAGAUAAAAUCACUAAUUGACUCGUUCAAUAUUAGGUUGGUGACAACGUUCAAAGAAACGUUUAUCAAACACGUUGCAACAAUGUUCCAAUGUAACCCAUAAUAUAUAAACACACAAGAUACCUUUCAAUGUUGGGGCGUUUUUUAAAUAUUUUUUUCAGGUGAUGUGCAGUGUCCUCCAAUCACAAGACGUCUUUUUCCGCCGUAGGGCAAUACAGACGUGAGUUUCAUCCAAUCAAAUCUCUCGACCGCGAUACGCUCGGACGCGUCGCGUUUUCGUCGCUGUAGCUACGCGCUAGGCAAGACAAGCAGUAUGGCGGAAGAAGAGAGUGAAUUUGAGUUAGAAGGUUUUAAAAAAGAAUUGGAGAGUUUAUUUGUCAGUUGUUCAAGUGAAGAAUACGGACUUCAAAGCAAGCUAUAUUGUGUACGGUUCUGUAAGUUGGUGGAGGUGUAUUCAGGACGAUGGCAGGUACCCUUGCCACAGCUGCAGGUGCUCCAGACUGCUCUAUGUUCCUUUGUCCAAGCCUCGGCCUGCUUCCCGUCUGACUGUGAACAUGUAUGCUACACACUGAGUAGCCUUGCCCUGAGUGCUUUUGAGCUCUUGCUGUUUUUGAACAGAAAUAAGAUCCUGCAGGAUCCCUUGAAAAAAAUCCUUGAUUCGUU